CCUACGGGCGGCAGCAGUGAGGAAUAUUGGUCAAUGGGCGCGAGCCUGAACCAGCCAAGUAGCGUGAAGGAUGACUGCCCUACGGGUUGUAAACUUCUUUUAUAAAGGAAUAAAGUGAGGCACGUGUGCCUUUUUGUAUGUACUUUAUGAAUAAGGAUCGGCUAACUCCGUGCCAGCAGCCGCGGUAAUACGGAGGAUCCGAUCGUUCUCCGGAUUUAUUGGGUUUAAAGGGAGCGUAGAUGGGUUGUUAAGUCAGUUUUGAAAGUUUGCGGCUCAACCGUAAAAUUGCAAUUGAUAAGGGCAGCCGUGAGUACAGUAGAGGUAGGCGGAAUUCGUGGUGUAGCGGUGAAAUGCUUAGAUAUCACGAAGAACUCCGAUUGCGAAGGCAGCCUACUAAACUGCCACUGACAUUGAUGCUCGAAAGUGUGGGUAUCAAACAGGAUUAGAUACCCCUGUAGUC
This 460-nucleotide ribosomal RNA is filed under the name uncultured bacterium. RNAcentral's name for it is "partial 16S ribosomal RNA". It matches the Rfam family "Bacterial small subunit ribosomal RNA", at positions 338 to 795 of the family's 1533-position model. The record is from RNAcentral.